UUGCCUCUCUACAAGGCUAAGAAGUUAAAGCAGCAGAGCUGGAUCAGUUGCUAAAUGCCAGGGCACCAUCCCUCCCUGAGCUGGCCACAAAAGAAUACUGGAUGGCAGUGGGAUGCCCAGGCCACAUUUCGCCCCUGGCCAGUAGGGAGGAAACCUGGGGCAAGGUGGGUCAGAGGAAGACGUAAAGGUCCUAGAUGCAACUGUAACAUCUUUUAUGAAGUCUUUUUCUUCCCCCCCUGGGAAAGCAGUUACUCAGACAAGGGGAAUGGCCUUUGGAUUGGCAAGGAUAAAACAAAAAUGGUUAAUGAGAAAUUGAAACCCAAGAAUAAGUACCUAGCUAACCCCAGUCAAUUCAAGUCCUCAGGCUCAGGUUAUUGAAAGAAGUGGCAGAUAUGACUUUUGGGCUGAAGCCAAUGGCCUUUGGAAGAUCAUGGAGAAUGGAACAAGUGCCACAGAAUUGGAGAAGAGAAGGGAAGGGAGAAUGAUGAAGAGGAUUUCAGAAAGCUGGAACUGAUGCAGAGUGAAAUAAGCAGAACCAGAAGAAUGUUGUACAGUGAAACAGCAAUAUUGUGGGAUGAUCAACUGUGAUACACUUAGCUACUCUCAGCAAUGAAAUGAUCCGGGACAACUCUGAAGGACUUAUGACAAAGAAUGCUAUCCACCUCCAGAGAAGGAACUGUUGGAAUCAGAAUGCAGAUAAAAGCACAUGAUUUUUCCUUGUUUUCUUGGUCUUAUGUUUUGGAGUUUUGGGUUUUGUAAGAUUAUUUGAUGACAAAAAUGAACAAUACAGAAAUAUGUUUUGAGUGAUAAUACAUGUAUAACCCAGAUUGAAUCUCCUGCCAGCACCAGGAAGGGGAAGGGAAGGGUGGAAGGGAGAUAAGUUCAGUCAUAUAACUUGGGAAAACUUCUGUGGAAAUUUGUUAUUACACAUGUAAUUGGUAAAAAAAUAAAAAAUAUUUUAAAAUUGG
This is a long non-coding RNA of Monodelphis domestica (gray short-tailed opossum), 968 nucleotides long. RefSeq lists it as uncharacterized. The record is from RefSeq and is a predicted model, not a curated record. Lineage: Eukaryota; Metazoa; Chordata; Mammalia; Didelphimorphia; Didelphidae.